UAUUUACAGAUUAGAAGGCAGAAAUUCUAAGACUGUUAACAGUUGUCAUUGCCUACCAAACUCAUGGAUUUCCAUCAGCAGUUUCUAAAAUUUAUGCUAAUAAGAUUAAUAUCCUGGAUUUAAUGAAACAGUGUCUAUAGAGAGAUCUGAGAUCUGGCAUAAGAUCUGAGAAAUAGGUCCCUGUACUUUUGGAAAUUCUAAGGAUCUCCUUUCAACACCAGUAUUUUCUGUGGUUACAGAAGCAUCUUCAGUCAGUUGUCACAAGAGUCUGACAUCUGUUUUUCUUGAAAAAUACUUUACUACUCCUGAAGGAGGAAGCUGUCCUAUUACACAGUAA
This 337-nucleotide long non-coding RNA is filed under the name Canis lupus familiaris (dog). RNAcentral describes it as "lncRNA (ENSCAFG00000047078.2, ENSCAFG00040001220.1)". Lineage: Eukaryota; Metazoa; Chordata; Mammalia; Carnivora; Canidae. The record is from RNAcentral.